Malania oleifera is the source of this 106-nucleotide small nucleolar RNA. The record is from RefSeq and is a predicted model, not a curated record. Lineage: Eukaryota; Viridiplantae; Streptophyta; Magnoliopsida; Santalales; Ximeniaceae.
ACUUAAUGGUGAUGGAAUUUGCGUAAAAGGUCCCUAAAGCGCUCCUAAGUCUCAAAAAAUUAUUCCCCAUCUAUCUGUGAGAACCUGGAAAUUGCCUUUCUCAACU